This is a non-coding RNA of Physcomitrium patens, 1866 nucleotides long. The record is from RefSeq and is a predicted model, not a curated record. Lineage: Eukaryota; Viridiplantae; Streptophyta; Bryopsida; Funariales; Funariaceae.
AGCAACGCAAUAGCCUUCACAGUUAAGACGAUCUAGAGGAACAGACACAUGCGGCAUGAAAGUAGUUGUCCCACCGGGAACUCUGCAAUUGCACGAGGGACAGAAAUGAAUGUGUUGUUUUUGUUCUCCUCGAGAAUCUGCCAUCUCUGCAAACAAAUCCAUGGCAACGUUGUUCGCAGCCUCUCCUCUUCUGCUUCUUGUUGGGCGCUUGCGUUUGUCGUCUGGUUGUCGAUGAGGUGGUGGAUGCUGUGCACUCCAGAGAGAGCAGAGAGCAUGGAGUUGUACAUGUGAAGAAGCAGGAGGAGAAGAAGAGGGAGAAACUCACAAGUUUUGUUGUUGUUGUUUUUUUUGUUUUUUUGUUUUUUUUUUUUUUUUUAAAGUGUUUUUUUUUGUUUGCCUGGCCGGAGUGCUUUUGAGGUCCACCCACCUGCACUGCAAUGCACCGCACCUGGCGAGGUUGUGUUGAGAAUGGGUCCGCCUGCACUGGCACCGGAGCAGUGCUUCUGGAGGUGCGACGUGGGGCAGCACAGCGUGAUUGGAAUUCAUGGUUGCUGUGAGGCAUUGGUGAGUGGACAGUGCUUCCCUGAGUUUCUCUCAUGUAGAGGACGGAGUUGCUUCUUUGAAUUGCUCCUUGGCAGGAAGUGAGUCCUUGCGACCAAGCUCACACAUGCUCACUCGCCUUGACAGUCUCUUUCAUGAGAGAUAGUGGACGAUCAAGCUAUGCAAGCGUUAAUUGAAGAUGUCUGCAAGACUUGCGUUGACAUUGAAACUAGCUCUCAACGGAAGUUUCUGCUCCAGUUCUUUAGGGUAGAGUGGUGGUGCUUUGAAACUUUCGUUUGAAGGUGGAUGAUGAUAGAUAUCACAGCGAGUGUUGUCAAUAUGUUUUGAAUCGGAUUAGCUUGAAUCCGCAGAUAUAUAUAUAUAUAUAUAUAUAUGUAAAUGCAACAAGGGACCUGUUGACUGCAGGGAACUGGAUGUUUUUAUCAAACAGCUGUUCGGGGGUCAGAGAGAACUAGAUUACAAUGAAAGCUUGUGAGCAGAGAGAUUCUGGAAGGUUUGCAGGUUGUUUUUGAAACAUGGGUGAUGUGCUCAUGUUUCUGGCGAGGUUUUCAACUUUACGUUGGGGAUACCACUACAUCCUCUCUUUUUAUGCUGCUGGGAAGAGUCUUGAGAUUUCGAGGAUAAGCAUUUUUGAAGCGGCAACUGUUUGUGCCACAGAUUUCAUAAACCUACAAGCGUCUUUGCUUACUGAAGGGUGAACUGUGUGAUAAAAAGCUUUGUUUAGUGCGAAGUGUGACUUGAUGAGAGGCGGUUCAACUUACUCGGAAGCAUGCAGAAAUGUUACAGGAAUAACCAGUCCGCAGCUCGCCUAAAUCUGUUUAGGCAACAGUGACAUCAGUAGCGCAGCACAUCACAUUCGGGAGAACUAAUUAUGGCACUUCGAUGUUUAGAUCAGCGGAUUGAAAUGGUGGAUGAGCCAAGAAAUGAAUGCAGCUCACUUGCGUUCUGUAUAUCACUUUGUACACCAAAUCACCUCAAAUGUCAGGUACCCAUGCAGUAUACAUCCGGUACACUUCCAGUACUUUCAGUGUCAUAGCAGUAUCCUCUAAAUUGCAUCAUUCUCCAUGCUGUGGUUGUGCAACUUUUUCUGGGAGUCGGAUUCUUGAAUAGAAACACAUUCUUCAAAUACAUAGAUAUUUAUUUUGAAAUUUUUGAAACAGCCUCGUCUCUCUGGAGAUCUAAAUAGGAAAUUGAGUAAACAUGAUCUAUAAGCACAAGCUACGAGGAAGAACUCUUGGUGGCAGUUUUAUCAAUUUCGUGACAAUGAAAUAGAUUUCCGAUCUCAAGCUGCGGAAGAUUUGUUGA